Molecule: non-coding RNA, 229 nt
Filed under: Ruminococcus sp.
Lineage: Bacteria; Bacillati; Bacillota; Clostridia; Eubacteriales; Oscillospiraceae
Description: T-box sequence
Rfam family: T-box leader
About the family: Uncharged tRNA acts as the effector for transcription antitermination of genes in the T-box leader family. T-boxes are found upstream of many aminoacyl-tRNA synthetase genes and some amino acid biosynthetic genes usually in Gram-positive bacteria. The anticodon of a specific tRNA base pairs to a specifier sequence within the T-box motif, and the NCCA acceptor tail of the tRNA base pairs to a conserved bulge in the T-box antiterminator hairpin.
Source: RNAcentral
AAAAUGGCGUGGAUGAGAAAGAGUAACCGUUCUACAGCUUUUCAGAGAGCCUUUGGGUGGUGGAAAAAGGCAGGCUGCACGGCGAAUACAUCUCGGAGUCGACUGCCUGAACCAGAUUUGCAGUAGGGUUGUCCGGGUGUGCCCGUUACAGCAUGCUUGAGGUCAGCUGUUUUUUCUACAGCUGAUGAACUGAGGUGGUACCACGGUGAAUGAUAACAUCGUCCUCUGA